GAUGAAGAACGUAGUGAAAUGCGAUAAGUAAUGUGAAUUGCAGAAUUCAGUGAAUCAUCGAAUCUUUGAACGCACAUUGCGCCCGCUAGUAUUCUGGCGGGCAUGCCUGUUCGAGCGUCAUUUCAACCAUCAAGCCCUGUUUAGGCUUGUGUUGGGGCCCUGCGGUUGCCGCAGCCCCCUAAAUGCAGUGGCGGGCUCGUUGUCACUCCGAGCGCAGUAGCGUAUCUCGCUCUGGGCGUGGCGGCGGGUGCUAGCCGUGAAACCCCCACUAAGGUUGACCUCGGAUCAGGUAGGAAUACCCGCUGAACUUAAGCAUAUCAAUAAGCGGAGGA
This 332-nucleotide unclassified non-coding RNA is filed under the name soil metagenome. Its description in RNAcentral is "partial contains 5.8S ribosomal RNA, internal transcribed spacer 2, and large subunit ribosomal RNA". The stretch from base 1 to 120 matches the Rfam family "5.8S ribosomal RNA", at positions 35 to 154 of the family's 154-position model. The record is from RNAcentral.